This 67-nucleotide small RNA is filed under the name Pontibacillus yanchengensis Y32. RNAcentral describes it as "Bacillaceae-1 RNA". It matches the Rfam family "Bacillaceae-1 RNA". The record is from Rfam by way of RNAcentral. Lineage: Bacteria; Bacillati; Bacillota; Bacilli; Caryophanales; Bacillaceae.
GGAAGAGGAGGUUCGACUAAAACCGUCACAUCGUGUGACAACGUUGAUCGAACAUACAUGGUGUAGG